This is a long non-coding RNA of Oncorhynchus tshawytscha (Chinook salmon), 7033 nucleotides long. Lineage: Eukaryota; Metazoa; Chordata; Actinopteri; Salmoniformes; Salmonidae. The record is from Ensembl.
GUGCAACACUGUACUUGCCAUUCAAUCAAACAACUUAGCUUCCAAACUAAAGCACAUUAUACAGAGAGUACACAUAUUUCUAUAAAUAUUCAAAAUAUCUAUAAAAUAUCUGUAAUACCUGAAACUCAAGCAUUUCAAGGAAGUUUUUUUUAAAUACUGCAUAGUUCACUAUCCUACCUAACAAAUAUCCUCCUCUCAAUUUUAUAGCUAUAACGCUCUUUUGACAAUUUACUCCUAUCAAACUCACUUAAUAUUGACAGAAGCCGAAGUGCUCACAAGAAGAAGGAAAGAAGAGUAACCCACCAGUCUCAAAAUGCAGUCUUCUCUCAAACUUUUUUAUGCUCCAGUAAGUCUGUCCUCCUUUCUUUUUUGCUCUCUUUCUUUCUCUCUCUCUACUUCUCUUUUUCUCUCACUCGUUCUUUUCCCCUCAUACACUCACAGUGCUCCCUACAAACUUCUCCUCUCCUCCUGUAUGCAAAUCAUUUUUAUGACUUGAGAGUCGGCUGGAGACGAGGGAACAAGGGAGAGAGAGAGGAGAGGGAAGAGACCGAGCAAGGGAGAGGGAAGGAGGAGAGGAGAUAAAUGGUUGAAGGCAGACGACCAAUGGGCCUGGAGAUUAAUGGAAAAAAAGGAAUGAGGGCAGCACCAAUGAGGCAAAGCGAAGGGGCGAGAAAGAGAUGGAGGGAGGAGAGGCAGGGAAGGAAACGAUGGUGAGAGAGUGCACAGCCGAGAGGAGAGACAGCGGAAGAAAGAGUGGAGUGGCAGACAGAGAGAGAGAGAGGGGAGAAGAGAAGCAAAGGACAUGCAUGGCAGGGGCUAGCUACCCCACUGUGACGGAGGGACUGCAGCAAAGGAGAGAACAGAAGAGAAGGGAGAGAAGGAGAAGUGUGUGGCUUACCGUAGUGUUACUGGCAUCCUCAGACAGCCACGCAGACAGACUCCUCACCCUGUGAGACGCACACGGCACAGCACACCGUACCGAGAUUGAUGAAUACCAAAAACAUCAAAGAAGAACGCCAAGCCGCCUGGUACCCUAAAGCAAGUGUGCGUCUAGGACCUGAGCACUAGGACCAUGCCUCAGGACUACCUGGCAUGAUGACUCCUUGCUGUCCCCAGUCCACCUGGCCGUGCUGCUGCUCCAGUUUCAACUGUUCUGCCUGCGGCUAUGGAACCCUGACCUGUUCACCGGACAUGCUACCUGUCCCAGACCUGCUGUUUUCAACUCUCUAGAGACAGCAGGAGCGGUAGAGAUACUCUUAAUGAUUGGCUAUGAAAAGCCAACUGACAUUUACUCCUGAGGUGCUGACCUGCUGCACCCUCGACAACUACUGUGAUUAUUAUUAUUUGACCAUGCUGGUCAUUUAUGAACAUUUGAACAUCUUGGCCAUGUUCUGUUAUAAUCUCCACCCGGCACAGUCAGAAGAGGACUGGCCACCCCUCAUAGCCUGGUUCCUCUCUAGGUUUCUUCCUAGGUUUUGGCCUUUCUAGGGAGUUUUUCCUAGCACAGUGCUUAUUCACCUGCAUUGCUUGCUGUUUGGGGUUUUAGGCUGUGUUUCUGUUCAGCAUUUUGAGAUAUCAGCUGAUGUAAGAAGGGCUAUAUAAAUACAUUUGAUUUGAUUUGAUUACUGUAUUUCAACCAGAGUGCUGUCAACUUUGUUCCUAGGGCAACUCUGCCCUGGGGAUAGACAGAAGGAAUAUGUUUGGCUUGCUCAAAGGUCAAUUGUUGGAUUUGCCAGAUUCAGUUAUCGCAUUCGCAGCACUAUUGCUUGCUACUACGAACCUAACAACGGGUAAGCUACUUAAUGUUACUUUUACAAAUACUUAUUUUUAGGUAGCAACCACCUUACAGUGCUAAAUAUUACUAAUACAACAAUAAUAACAACUAGUGUCAAACAACAGUAGCAAUAGCUAGCUGACGUUAGCUAGCUAGGUGGGUCGUCAAUCCAUGUAGCUAACUCACUAGCUUGCUAGAUAACUAUCUGUUAGUCAGGGCAGCUUGCAACAUCAGUAAGAAGCUUGUUUUUUUUGUGACAGAUAAUCAUACAGCUUGCUACCUAGCUUGCUGUGUAACGUUAGUUCAUAGCUACCUGGAUGGGUCGUCAAUCCAUGUAGCUAGCUAGCUAUUUUAGGUAUCUAUGUUAGCUAGCUAGUGAGUUACUAACUGACUACAUAGCUAGAUAACUAGAUGUUAGCCAGGGCAGCUUGCAACAUCAGUAAGACGCUUGCUGUGAAACAUUAGUUUUUGCAAGUAGUAAGCCAGCUAGCUUGAUGCAAAGUCUUCGAACAACAGUUGAACAGUUCUGCAUAGCUAGCUACAUCAAAAGUCAGUCUUUCCGCUAUAGUAGUUUAGCUGUGGCGCUAAAUCGCUGUUGCCACUCCAAAAAAUAUGAUUUUAUAAAAAUUGGGGGGAGGGAAAACGAUCUAAAUCGACAUCGAAAUUAUUAAAACCAAAUCGAAACUGUGUUGAAAUUGGCGCCUUAUAAAACCUAACGGUGCUCACAUUUAUCUUGGGACAGUCUUUAUUCAUAGUGUAGUUAUAGCAGAUGGUGUCUUCCAUUCAGUAUAUAUCAGCCUCAAGAUCAGCAUUAUCUCAGUGAUUGAAUGUUAGUGUGCAUAAGUGAGGCCAACAAAGUUGAUUGAGUUCUACCAUCUGUCUCAUCUUGUCAAACCAGUGUAUAGCUAGCUAGCUUGAGGGGAGCGUUGGUAUGAGCAGUAAAAUGGCAAAAUGCCUAUAAUAUUAUACAGUUGAAGUCGGAAGUUUACAUACACCUUAGCCAAAUACAUUUAAAUUCUGUUUUUCACAAUUCCUGACAUUUACUCCUAUUAAAACUUCCCUGUCUUAUGUCAAUUAGGAUCACCACUUUAUUUUAAGAAUGUGAAGUGUCAGAAUAAUAGUAGGGGGAAGGAUUUAUUUAAGCUUUUAUGUCUUUCAUCACAUUCCCAGUGGGUCAGAAGUUUAUAUACACUCAAUUAGUAUUUGGUAGCAUUGCCUUUAAAUUGUUUAACUUUGGUCUAACAUUUCAAGGUAGCCUUCCACAAGCUUCCCACAAUAAGUUGGGUGAAUUUUGUCCCAUUCCUUCUGACAGAGCUAUUGUAACUGAGUCAGGUUUGUAGGCUUCCUUGCUCGCACAUGCUUUUUCAGUUCUGCCCACACAUUUUCUACGAGAUUGAGGUCAGGGCUUUGUGAUGGCCACUCCAAUACCUUGACUUUGUUGUCCUUAAGCCAUUUUGCCACAACUUUGGAAGUAUACUUGGGGUCAUUGUCCAUUUGGAAGACCCAUUUGUGACAAAUAACUUCAUGACUGAUGUCUUGAGAUGUUGCUUCAAUAUAUCCACAUAAUUUUCCUCCUCAAGAUGCCAUCUAUUUUGUGAAGUGCACCAGUCCCUCCUGCAGCAAAGCACCCCCACAACAUGAUGCUGCCACCCCCGUGCUUCACGGUUAGGAUGGUGUUCUUCAGCUUGCAAGCUUCCCCCUUUUUCCUCCAAACAUAACAAUGGUCAUUAUGGCCAAACAGUUCUAUGUCUGUAUCAUCAGACCAGAGGACAUUUCUCCAAAAAGUAUGAUCUUUGUCCCCAUGUGCAGUUGCAAACGGUAGUCUGGCUUUUUUAUGGCCUUGCUGAGCGGCCUUUCAGGUUAUGUCGAUAUAGGACGUGUUUUACUGUGGAUAUACAGUGGGGGAAAAAAGUAUUUAGUCAGCCACCAAUUGUGCAAGUUCUCCCACUUAAAAAGAUGAGAGAGGCCUGUAAUUUUCAUAAUGUGUACACUUCAACUAUGCCAGACAAAAUGAGGAAAAAAAAUCCAGAAAAUCACAUUGUAGGAAUUUUAAUGAAUUUAUUUGCAAAUUAUGGUGGAAAAUAAGUAUUGACCACAUUUUUGCCCCACUGUAGAUGCUUUUGUAGGUACAGGUACACUUCCAAUUGACUCAAAUGAUGUCAAUUAGCCCAUCAGAAGCUUCUAAAGCCAUGACAUAAUUUUCUGGAAUUUUCCAAGCUAUUUCAAUUCACAGUCAAUUUAGUAUAUGUAAUCUUCUGACCCACUGGAAUUGUGAUACAGUGAAUUAUAAGUGAAAUAAUCUGUCUGUAAACAAUUGUUGGAAAAAUUACAAAGUAUAUGUCCUAACUGACUUGCCAAAACUAUAGUUUGUUAACAAGAAAUUUGUGGAGUGGUUGAAAAAUGAGUUUUAAUGAAUCCAACCUAAGUGUAUGUAAACUUCCGACUUCAACUGUACAUUCAGCUAUGACUUUACGUUCUAUAGCCUACUGAAGAAGUGGAACAAUAACAAUUUAAAUUGUGCAUGAUUUUUGUUUGAUUAGCUUAAAGUGUUUGUUCAUUCUUAUCUCUGAAUUUGCUUUGUUCUAUUGUAAUUUACAACAUUUGUCUUUUCUAUAGGAAAUAGAGGGUGUAUGGUUGAGAGGAGUUGAGAAGCAUCUUAAAGAGAAAGAUGAGAGGCUGGAACGUGAGGUUGUCCUUUAUAGAUGGAGAUGAGGAGGAAUGUACAUAGAGAAGCUUCAAACAGAAACCAAAACAUAAUUCAAAGCAGUUCACUCUCUCAGUAACGAAUACUUCCACUAUUCAUGUGAAUGAAGCAGCAAACCAAUAGGGUGAAGCAUAGGAAAACCAUGUGACACUAGGGCUAAUUGGUGUGGGGCCUAUGAUUCUUUUUAUAUGGUUAGGGACACUUGUUUUAAAGGUGCUGUCGUACACAAAAUGGUAAAACACAUUGGACAUGACUAUGCUGAUGCAAAACAGGGGGUUGUCACCGCAUUGAUCCUGAGCUUCUGUCCUUUGUGGAGUUGUGGCUUUCUCAAUGAUGCUUUAUAUUAGAGGUGCUUGUGAAGAUUUGUGAUUGGGCUAUGAGUGAAGGACACAGCAACAAACGAGACCGGUGUUACUUUCAAGCCCCUAAAGAUGUUUGCAACAUCAAACGACGCUUGAAAGCCUUAUCAGUCCUUGAUGUGAAAGAUAACACCAGUGUAGAAAAGCUAGUCAAUUCUGAUCUGAAGGACAACAUUCUAAUCUAUCAUCCUCUCUGUAAUGUAUCUAAGCAGCAUCUGAUGAUAGUUGUCCAAAGAAAAUGGACAAAACAACAACUACAAGAGAACCCACUUCCCAUUGUAUUUCUGGAUGCCACUAACCUAUGGUUAGCGUUCUAUGCUAUCCUUACCAUCAAGCAUAGUGGUAGAGGACUUCCUAUAGCAUGUUUAAUUCUGAGGAAACAACUGACACUAUAGGGGAAGUAUUUAGAGAAAUUAUGGCAGGCCAAUCCAUGCUUAAUUCCCAGUCAAGAUCAUCAUUUAAUUUUUGGUAAAACACUCGUCUAAUACCAUUGUAUACACUCUAUUGUGGACAGUGUUCAAAAACUGUUGUCAUCAUAAUCAGCAUUCUUAUUAAUUGCUUUGACACUCACUAUUUCGGGAAACCUCAUCUCCUACUGUGUGCAACCAACCAUCAUAACAUAACGUGUGACCCUCGCUUCUAACCUGUAACAAUCCUUCCAUCCAUCCCAUCCAUCCAUUUCUAGCUCUCUAUUUUAUCUCACUUGUGUUUGGUUUUAUAUGUCUGUGAUGAAUGAUAGAGACCUCAAAGAGUUGAAUGCAGUCAGAAAAGUGUUCCAGAGUCCAAGAUCCUAUUGUGCUGGUUUCAUGUGCUUCAGGUGUGUAAGAUAAGAGACUGACCUCAUAUAUGUUACUUCUGAUUUUAUUCAAUGACGAAGGUGCAUAAAGACGAAUUCCUCCCCAUGCAAACGCUCAUUCGCCGUAUCGUAUAGUUCCCUCCGUUACUCUUUUUUUGAAUUGACAUUAGCACAGUAUACAUGAUCCUAAAUAUAGCUCCAAGACCGCAGCAAUUAGAAAUAACGAAGAAGCUGAUUGUGCAGAUUUAAAGGCACACUGAACCAUGUCGCGCGUCGUAGUUUAAAGUCUGUGGAUAGUGCUCAAACAAUGACGUCAUAUCUGAACUCCUCUUUCUUCAUGCACCUUCGCCAUUGAAGCAGGGCCUAAUGACUUUGUUCUUGUAAUACUUCAAUAGGCAGUUAGAAGAUGGUUGACUAGGAGAAAUGGGGGCAGCAUGUCUGUGGGGAGCCGCAAUAGGGCCAUUAUCCUUGUCUUCUAUGUAUUCAUGUGACUGGUAAACGUGCUUCUUGGAAAAAAACGUUGCUAGCUUGUUAGCUAAGCUAACGUUAGCUAGCUAACUUAGCUAGCUAGAUUCCCAAAGUAGCCAUAUCCCCCUCUCCAAAAAUAAUUUGUUAAAUAGGCUUCUUCAGAGUAAAUCAAGGUAAAACUGUUUAAUUUAUUUCAUCUACUCAUUCAACUCACUUCUUGGAUAUGGCUUGCACAAAAUACUUUUGCUAGAUAGCAUGUUAACAGGCACCUGUCAUGGUGGAUCAUGAUUACUGUUGGACUUGCAAAGAAAUCUUGUUGCCUCUCGUGUAAACCAAGCCUCUUGACCUUUUUGCAAUAACCAAUGAUAACCCUUCUGCCCUAAGAAUAGAGUUAGCUUCAUAUCAAUCUGCAAAAUGCACAUUCUAUUUUAAUCUAUCAGGCAGAUGGAGUUGACAGUUUAUGCUUGUGACCAUGGUCUUUCCAAUAUUGUUUCUUGAAAUCUAUCAAAAGUAGAAACAUUUACAGACUAUAAGUGAUCUUGUUCCACUACAUGUAAUGAGGACAUGAAUAAAGGGUCCUUAUCCCCUUAGAGUUGAUUUCUACAGCCCCGCGGAAAUCUAACUCGCAUAAUAAUAAAAAAUCCCACAACAAUCCUACACCAAUCCAUCAGUAAAAGCUAGAGAUAUCAGUUAUCUUUGCAUUGGAUGCGUCUCAAUCCACCGCAUCUGCCGAUAUCGCACCUCCACAUCUGCGGUGAAAGGUGACAGAGGUAGAGCGGUGUUUGUCAGACCAUGAGACAUCCCGAAAAUCAGUCUUCUCCCAAAAUCGUCUGUAGCGUCCGAGUGGUUUGGCCUACAGUUUCGCUAUCUGUUGUUGAAUGUAGUAAAUCUGUUAUUCAACGUGUUUGUAUGGGCUAUUAGCAGUAAGGCCA